Molecule: long non-coding RNA, 529 nt
Organism: Gossypium arboreum
Lineage: Eukaryota; Viridiplantae; Streptophyta; Magnoliopsida; Malvales; Malvaceae
Exons: 3
Source: RefSeq, a predicted model, not a curated record
AGAACUUUCCCAUAGCUGAAGCUAAGAAUAGAUUGCGUUUGGAGAAAAAACAAUGGUCUAAAAGUGCUUUUAGACUCAAACCAAGAAGCUAGUGUAAUCCAACUUUUGGCUUUUGAUUUUAACGUUUGGGUUAUCUAAUUACCAAAUAAAAACCUCAUUUAAUUGUUUCCCUCCUAACGUUAUGCAAGACAUUAAUGUUGUUACUCACUUACAAUCAAAUCUCCCGCGUUGCUAUCUGCUCUAUUAUGUCAGUUUUAGGGAAAAAAAAAAAAACAGUAGCUCCAGACCUGAAGCAAGAGGAGCAGUUUUGAGAAUAAGAUAGUUUUAAGGAACAAAGAAGCUCCAAAUUUGAAUCAAGAAGACCAGCACAAUCUAAAGGCUUUGACCAACUUUGGAUAUUAGUGGGCAUGGUGCAAACAUAUUGGUCAAGUUUUUAUGUUUCAUUCUUUUGUGCUUGCCAUGGUGCAAACAUAUUAGUUAAAUGUAGAAAGUAAUAACUUUGAAAUUCAUUUGAAAUAUUUAACAUUAA